AGAGUUUGAUCCUGGCUCAGAUUGAACGCUGGCGGCAGGCCUAACACAUGCAAGUCGAGCGGUAGAGAGGUGCUUGCACCUCUUGAGAGCGGCGGACGGGUGAGUAAAGCCUAGGAUCUGCCUGGUAGUGGGGGAUAACGCUCGGAAACGGACGCUAAUACCGCAUACGUCCUACGGGAGAAAGCAGGGGACCUUCGGGCCUUGCGCUAUCAGAUGAGCCUAGGUCGGAUUAGCUAGUUGGUGAGGAAUGGCUCACCAAGGCGACGAUCCGUAACUGGUCUGAGAGGUGAUCAGUCACACUGGAACUGAGACACGGUCCAGACUCCUACGGGAGGCAGCAGUGGGGAUAUUGGACAAUGGGCGAAAGCCUGAUCCAGCCAUGCCGCGUGUGUGAAGAAGGCUUCGGUUGAAAGCACUUUAAGUGGGAGGAGGGCUUACCUAUACGUAGUGUUUGACGUACGACAGAUAGCACGGCUACUCUGUGCAGC
This 488-nucleotide ribosomal RNA is filed under the name uncultured Pseudomonas sp. RNAcentral's name for it is "bacterial SSU rRNA". It matches the Rfam family "Bacterial small subunit ribosomal RNA", at positions 8 to 512 of the family's 1533-position model. The record is from RNAcentral. Lineage: Bacteria; Pseudomonadati; Pseudomonadota; Gammaproteobacteria; Pseudomonadales; Pseudomonadaceae.